Molecule: long non-coding RNA, 584 nt
Filed under: Nicotiana benthamiana
Lineage: Eukaryota; Viridiplantae; Streptophyta; Magnoliopsida; Solanales; Solanaceae
Description: long non-coding RNA (NBEN_LNC040180)
Source: RNAcentral
GUCUCGAAGACCAAGCAUAAGAUCAAACACAGGAUUAUCUGAAGUUGCAUCUUCUAGCAGACGAGGAGGAAGAAGGGCACCACCUCCAGCACCAGUUGUGGAGGAAGAGGAACAUUUUGAUCCGGAUGCUGAUGAGGUGCCAGAGUGCAAAUAUGGCAUAAGAGCCAUUCCUACUCAUACUAUACAGUGGUUCCAGUCCUUUGUACCUGCUGUGUUAUUUUGAUCCGGAUGCUGAUGGGGUGAUAGAGUGAAAGUAUGGCAUAAGAGCCAUUACGAUUCAUACUAUAUAGUGGUUCCAGUCCUUUGUACCUGCUCUGUUACCAAAUCCUGAAGUAGUAAUUUAAAUAGCAAAACUUGCUCGUAAGUAUAAUACAAUAUAUACUAACAUUCGAGCUUUGGGUUUUGAAGGGCUAUUUCACCACGGCGAUAGUGUGAACAUCAAAUUGGUGAAGGAAUUUUGUGUUAAUUGGCAACCAGAAGGUAAUUUAACGGUCAUAAUCACAUUUUCUUAAACGGUCAUAAAUCAAACUAUGGGUUUCACGGAGCACUCCCAUAAGCUAUUUUAGCGGUUUCUUCGUAGACCG